RNAcentral lists this long non-coding RNA (625 nucleotides) under Chinchilla lanigera (long-tailed chinchilla). RNAcentral describes it as "lncRNA (ENSCLAG00000024700.1)". Lineage: Eukaryota; Metazoa; Chordata; Mammalia; Rodentia; Chinchillidae. The record is from RNAcentral.
UGCGUGAGUGACACCACAGCCAGCAGCCUGGGACGUGGGACAGCUGCCGUACAACCUCCAUGGACGCGGGGCCUGGGCCCUUCACAAGCGGGGGCCCCGGGUGCUGUAGCUGCAAAGGGCAAGAGUGCAGCCCCUGGAGGUACCGUCUGGUCUGCGUCCUCCGCGCUGACACCCCAGUCUCGGGCUGCGGACCCACGUCCUGCCUCAGCUGGGGGCUGAGAGGAAAGCAGCUGCAGCCCACAGCGUUUCACCCGAGCUGCGCAACGUGCACGUAACACAAGGCCACGGCACACACCACACAGGGGCAGCCCGGAGCUCUGCUCUCCUCUCUUAGAAAAGGGCCCUGCUGUAAAGUGCGUGCCCACACUCACACGCACCCACACCACCUACACCGAGGGAGAGGAGGCUUGCACACCCACAGAGUGAGACUUGCUUCAGCAGACAGCAAGCACUGCUGGGACGAUUGGUGAGAUCUAAACAAGGACUGUGGAGUAGAUAAGUGCUACAUUUAUGCCGGGCGUGGUGGUGUACACCUGUAAUCCCAGCACUCGGGAGGCUGAGGCAGGAGGAUCACUGCGAGUUCGAGACCAGCCUGGGCUACAAAGUGAGCUCAAGGCCAGCCUGA